CCUACGGGAGGCAGCAGUGGGGAAUCUUCCGCAAUGGACGAAAGUCUGACGGAGCAACGCCGCGUGAGUGAAGAAGGUUUUCGGAUUGUAAAACUCUGUCUUUUGGGACGAACGGUCUCUAUGUGAAAAAUGUAGAGGAUUGACGGUACCAAAGGAGGAAGCCCCGGCUAACUACGUGCCAGCAGCCGCGGUAAU
This 195-nucleotide ribosomal RNA is filed under the name uncultured bacterium. RNAcentral's name for it is "partial 16S ribosomal RNA". It matches the Rfam family "Bacterial small subunit ribosomal RNA", at positions 338 to 524 of the family's 1533-position model. The record is from RNAcentral.